Molecule: long non-coding RNA, 860 nt
Organism: Lathyrus oleraceus (garden pea)
Lineage: Eukaryota; Viridiplantae; Streptophyta; Magnoliopsida; Fabales; Fabaceae
Exons: 2
Source: RefSeq, a predicted model, not a curated record
UAUCUAUUUUCCCCACAAACCCUAACAUUGUCACUGCUCACCCUUUUUCCAUCCUAUCUAUGACCACUUCUGAUGAAAAAAACAAAGUCAUAUUAGUAUUCCUCAUCUCAUUGCCUUCCUAAUGAACCAGUUGGAGUUUUAUUUCAAACAACCUCAUUAUCGACAACCGUUAUACAUCCUCGACGAAUUCGUUAAGAACGACCAUCGUUUCUCCUUCUCUCGAUUCAUUAUGAUUUGGCUUAAUGUUGAUCAUCGUGCUUUUUAAUUCGAUGUUUUGGAUAUUUGAUUAUGUCAUUGCUGUAAUCAAAGUACUGUCUGCAGUGAUUAUUGAUAUGGUUUAAAACUAUGUUAGGGUUUAUUUUUUUGAAUGGAUGUCUGCUCUAUACAAUAUUGUUGAUUACAAGCUCACAUGAUUGUUCUUUUUUUUCUCAUUGGUAGGAUUUUUUAUGCUCCUUGUUUUUUGGGGUUUGAUUCAUUCCUCUUUGAGGCAUGUUACUACAUCGUAUCUAAGGCGUGACAUCAAACACAAAUGUCGUUCGGGUUACAGAGACAUUUGGUGUUGCAGAAUGUCCCCAAAAGGUUGGAUUCUCUUUGUUAAGUGUGAGUUUAAGUUUGGAAGUAUUUAGUGAUUGUAAUGUUUGUCAAGAUUAGACAAUUUAUUAUGAGGUAUUUAUAGGGACGUUUUUAACUGGUUCUUUUGAAGAAGUUUAGACAACUUAUUUUGAUUGUAUGCUAUAAAAUGCUUGGAAAAUCCAGUUUUUAUUAUUUUGAUUAUAUGCCAGAAAAUUCUUAGUUAAUCCAAUUUUGAUUGUAUUGAUUGUAUGCCAAAAAUGCUUAGCUAAUGUAACUGUCUUAUUUUU